This 277-nucleotide ribosomal RNA is filed under the name uncultured bacterium. RNAcentral describes it as "partial 16S ribosomal RNA". It matches the Rfam family "Bacterial small subunit ribosomal RNA", at positions 28 to 298 of the family's 1533-position model. The record is from RNAcentral.
GACGAACGCUGGCGGCGUGCCUAACACAUGCAAGUGGAGCGACGAACCAGGCUUCGGCCUGGGGCAAAGCCGCGAACGGGUGAGUAACACGUGGGUAACCUGCCCCGAUGAUUGGGACAACCCGAGGAAACUCGAGCUAAUACCAAAUGUGCCCUCCAGCCGUAAGGCUGCUGGGGAAAGGAAGCUUCGGCCUCCGCAUCAGGAUGGGCCCGCGGCCCAUUAGCUUGUUGGUGAGGUAACGGCUCACCAAGGCGACGAUGGGUAGCUGGUCUGAGAG